Long non-coding RNA from Saccostrea cuccullata (small rock oyster), 446 nucleotides. RefSeq lists it as uncharacterized. The record is from RefSeq and is a predicted model, not a curated record. NCBI's taxonomy places the organism in Eukaryota, Metazoa, Mollusca, Bivalvia, Ostreida, Ostreidae. The transcript has 5 exons.
UAAAGAUUUAUAUGGCAUUGUUUUAUCUGAUGAAGUGUCUGAGAAAAUAAGAUUUUUUUGUCUUAAGAUUGUUCCAAGAAUGUAAUAAAGCAGCAUCAUUUUGGUUGCACCGGUUAGCUCCCAAUUGUUAUGACACAGACAGAGUGUUCCAAGAUCUCUACAUAACUAAAGAAAAUCUCUGUGGUUCUACAAAUUGUGAUGGAUAUCCGUGUAGAUGAAGAAUACAUCCCAUAUGUACAGAUUGUUCCAGGAAUGGUAUAAAGCAGCAUCAUUUUGGUUGUACAGGUUAUCUCCUAGAUCCUAAUGACACAGACACAGGGUUCCGUACACUCUACAUAACCAAAUUCUCUGUGAUCAGAUUCCAGUCCAGUGCUGUGUACAAAGGACUCUCCUCAGUCAAUCAAUGUAAGGCCUCAGCACCACGUACAGUAUAUGUACAGUAUACA